UUUUCUGAGAGAUUUACAUCAGACGAAGCCCGGUGUUGUUUCGAGCCGUUUGUUCCUGCUUCAGCGGCCUUCAGUCAGCGCGCGGUCAUAGCAUCCAGAGAGAUUUAUAUCAGAAGAAAUCUCCAAACACUGCAGCUGAUUCUGAUUCACCAGAGACAGCCUUGGAGGAGAAAUGGUGUGUCUUCAUUUGUUAAUACAGGUCAGAUAGCAAAUGUUGCCAUUCUUCUGGAAAACUGCUGGUCUUUAAAGAACAGUCAUCAAUCAGGUAACUUGAACACAGUUUUUGAAUACCAUUCUAUUACUAAAGUUAUCUUUUAUUCAGUUACUAAAUCACUUUGACUAGCUUUGUUUUUGUUUUGUUUUUCAAUUAUUAAUGAAGUUUAUUUUAACAAAGUUUAGGAGAAAUAUUUUCAGAAAAUCCAAGCAAUUUGCAUCAGAGGAAGUCUAUAUAUCGCCGCUUUUUUCACCUCCAUUCCCAGACGACAGCAGGCCAAAUAUGCUUAUUCUGUCUAUUAUAAAUACAUAUGUGACCUUGUGAAUUGCUGUAUAGUUCAGCUAACAAAAUAACCAACUGUUUUCAUAGAUUUGUAUUAUCAAGUUAUGUUUCAUCAUUCUAACUUGUUUAAAUAAUGAAGACUGUACAAUGUAUUUAUAGAAAGUGCUUUUUAUAUAUUUUUACAGGAUCCUCUGUUCCCAGACCCAACCAUUCAUCUGAAGGACUGUGAAAAUAUGGACCCUUUGAACCACCGUUGACAGUUUCCACAUGAUAAAUAGAAAGGACAUGGCAGAGGAUGAUAGGGGUAUUGAUAUUUCACUGAAAUUAAAUAUCAUUUAAUUACAUUUAGUCUGCUAGUCAGAAUUAUAGCUGAUUAAAUAAAAAUAAAUAGUGGUUCA
This is a long non-coding RNA of Cyprinus carpio (common carp), 894 nucleotides long. The record is from Ensembl. Lineage: Eukaryota; Metazoa; Chordata; Actinopteri; Cypriniformes; Cyprinidae.